ACGACGCUGGCGGCGUGCCUAAUACAUGCAAGUCGAACGGUCUUUCUAUGGAAGCUUGCUUCCACUGAGAAGAUAGUGGCGAACGGGUGAGGUAACACGUGGGUAACCUGCCCAUAAGAGGGGGAUAACAUCCGGAAACGGGUGCUAAUACCGCAUAGUUUUCUUGAUCGCAUGAUCGGGAAAGGAAAGACGGCCUUUGUGCUGUCGCUUAUGGAUGGACCCGCGGCGUAUUAGUUAGUUGGUGAGGUAACGGCUCACCAAGACGAUGAUACGUAGCCGACCUGAGAGGGUGAUCGGCCACAUUGGGACUGAGACACGGCCCAAACUCCUACGGGAGGCAGCAGUAGGGAAUCUUCCGCAAUGGACGAAAGUCUGACGGAGCAACGCCGCGUGAGUGAAGAAAAGGGUUUUCGGAUCGUAAAACUCUGUUGUCAGAGAAGAACAAGUUGGAGAGUAACUGCUCCAGCCUUGACGGUAUCUGACCAGAAAGCCACGGCUAACUACGUGCCAGCCGCAGC
RNAcentral lists this ribosomal RNA (518 nucleotides) under uncultured bacterium. RNAcentral's name for it is "bacterial SSU rRNA". It matches the Rfam family "Bacterial small subunit ribosomal RNA", at positions 32 to 518 of the family's 1533-position model. The record is from RNAcentral.